Molecule: transfer RNA, 67 nt
Filed under: Marmota monax (woodchuck)
Lineage: Eukaryota; Metazoa; Chordata; Mammalia; Rodentia; Sciuridae
Description: tRNA.Ala
Source: RNAcentral
GGUUAUAGCUCAGUGGUAAAGCACUUGACUAGCAUGUGUGAGGCACUGGGUUUGAUUCUCAGUACCA